RNAcentral lists this ribosomal RNA (429 nucleotides) under Sarika resplendens. RNAcentral describes it as "partial large subunit ribosomal RNA". It matches the Rfam family "Bacterial large subunit ribosomal RNA", at positions 1817 to 2596 of the family's 2925-position model. Lineage: Eukaryota; Metazoa; Mollusca; Gastropoda; Stylommatophora; Ariophantidae. The record is from RNAcentral.
AGCUUUAUGAAAGAUUAUUAAUAUAAAGUAAAACCUGCCCACUGAAUUUUUAAAUGGCCGCAGUACCUUGACUGUGCUAAGGUAGCAUAAUAAAUUGACUUUUAAUUGAGGUCUUGAAUGAAAGGAACCAUGAAUAAUUACUGUCUUAUUUUAAUUAAUAGUAAAUUACUAAUAAGGUGAAAAUUCCUUUAAAUAAAUAUAAUAGACGAGAAGACCCUAGGAGUUUUAUAAAAAUUUUGUUGGGGCGACAUUAUAGCAUUAAUUUAACCUAUAAUUAAAAUUAUUAAUAAAACGAGAAAUUUUAAUAUAAAUUAAACUACCCUAGGGAUAACAGCAUAAUUUAUAAUUAAGUUUGUGACCUCGAUGUUGGACUAAGGGCUUUUAAAGUUAACAGCGUUAAAUGAUAGUUCUGUUCGAACUUUGUACCUU